RNAcentral lists this ribosomal RNA (248 nucleotides) under uncultured bacterium. RNAcentral describes it as "partial 16S ribosomal RNA". It matches the Rfam family "Bacterial small subunit ribosomal RNA", at positions 796 to 1041 of the family's 1533-position model. The record is from RNAcentral.
CACACUGUAAACGAUGGAUACUAGGUGUGGGGGGUCUGACCCCUUCCGUGCCGGAGUUAACACAAUAAGUAUCCCACCUGGGGAGUACGAUCGCAAGAUUGAAACUCAAAGGAAUUGACGGGGACCCGCACAAGCAGUGGAGUAUGUUGUUUAAUUCGACGCAACGCGAAGAACCUUACCAGGGUUUGACAUCUCAGGAAUCCUGUAGAGAUAUGGGAGUGCCCUUCGGGGAGCCUGAAGACAGGUGG